RNAcentral lists this long non-coding RNA (238 nucleotides) under Homo sapiens (human). RNAcentral's name for it is "HSALNT0243995". Lineage: Eukaryota; Metazoa; Chordata; Mammalia; Primates; Hominidae. The record is from RNAcentral.
GUCCCUUGUUGUGGGAAGUCUCACCCCGGAGAGGCUGACUCCAGGGUUGUUGAAAUAGAGCAGCCAGGUUCUGCCGAUGACUGCUUAAAAUUCAUGUUGCCAUGGUAGCAUGGCAUUAGGCCACCGGUGAUCCUGCUGCACAAAGCUUUGAUCUCGGAGAAGGCAGAGUUUCUUUUGCUCUCUAGCUGGUUCUAAGGGGACUGCCUUGGGACCAAGCUUUGGCUUUGCUCCUGGGCCU